GGUUAAGCGACUAAGCGUACACGGUGGAUGCCCUGGCAGUCAGAGGCGAUGAAGGACGUGCUAAUCUGCGAUAAGCGUCGGUAAGGUGAUAUGAACCGUUAUAACCGGCGAUUUCCGAAUGGGGAAACCCAGUGUGAUUCGUCACACUAUCAUUAACUGAAUCCAUAGGUUAAUGAGGCGAACCGGGGGAACUGAAACAUCUAAGUACCCCGAGGAAAAGAAAUCAACCGAGAUUCCCCCAGUAGCGGCGAGCGAACGGGGAGGAGCCCAGAGCCUGAAUCAGUGUGUGUGUUAGUGGAAGCGUCUGGAAAGGCGCGCGAUACAGGGUGACAGCCCCGUACACAAAAAUGCACAUACUGUGAGCUCGAUGAGUAGGGCGGGACACGUGGUAUCCUGUCUGAAUAUGGGGGGACCAUCCUCCAAGGCUAAAUACUCCUGACUGACCGAUAGUGAACCAGUACCGUGAGGGAAAGGCGAAAAGAACCCCGGCGAGGGGAGUGAAAAAGAACCUGAAACCGUGUACGUACAAGCAGUGGGAGCCUCUUUAUGGGGUGACUGCGUACCUUUUGUAUAAUGGGUCAGCGACUUAUAUUCUGUAGCAAGGUUAACCGAAUAGGGGAGCCGAAGGGAAACCGAGUCUUAACUGGGCGUUAAGUUGCAGGGUAUAGACCCGAAACCCGGUGAUCUAGCCAUGGGCAGGUUGAAGGUUGGGUAACACUAACUGGAGGACCGAACCGACUAAUGUUGAAAAAUUAGCGGAUGACUUGUGGCUGGGGGUGAAAGGCCAAUCAAACCGGGAGAUAGCUGGUUCUCCCCGAAAGCUAUUUAGGUAGCGCCUCGUGAAUUCAUCUCCGGGGGUAGAGCACUGUUUCGGCAAGGGGGUCAUCCCGACUUACCAACCCGAUGCAAACU
RNAcentral lists this ribosomal RNA (912 nucleotides) under Escherichia coli. RNAcentral's name for it is "partial 23S ribosomal RNA". It matches the Rfam family "Bacterial large subunit ribosomal RNA", at positions 1 to 955 of the family's 2925-position model. The record is from RNAcentral. Lineage: Bacteria; Pseudomonadati; Pseudomonadota; Gammaproteobacteria; Enterobacterales; Enterobacteriaceae.